RNAcentral lists this ribosomal RNA (466 nucleotides) under uncultured bacterium. RNAcentral describes it as "partial 16S ribosomal RNA". It matches the Rfam family "Bacterial small subunit ribosomal RNA", at positions 28 to 507 of the family's 1533-position model. The record is from RNAcentral.
GAUGAACGCUGGCGGCGUGCUUAACACAUGCAAGUCGAACGAUGAAGCCCAGCUUGCUGGGUGGAUUAGUGGCGAACGGGUGAGUAACACGUGAGUAACCUGCCCUUAACUCUGGGAUAAGCCUGGUAAACUGGGCCUAAUACCGGAUAGGAGCGUCCACCGCAUGGUGGGUGUUGGAAAGAUUUAUCGGUUUUGGAUGGACUCGCGGCCUAUCAGCUUGUUGGUGAGGUAAUGGCUCACCAAGGCGACGACGGGUAGCCGGCCUGAGAGGGUGACCGGCCACACUGGGACUGAGACACGGCCCAGACUCCUACGGGAGGCAGCAGUGGGGAAUAUUGCACAAUGGGCGCAAGCCUGAUGCAGCGACGCCGCGUGAGGGAUGACGUCCUUCGGGUUGUAAACCUCUUUCAGUAGGGAAGAAGCGAAAGUGACGGUACCUGCAGAAGAAGCACCGGCUAACUACGUG